GACGAACCGUGCGAACGUUAUUCGGAAUCACUGGGCUUAAAGCGCGUGUAGGCGGCCCGGCACGUCAUCGGCUGAAAUCCCCCGGCUCAACCGGGGAAGGGGCCGUGAUACGACCGGGCUGGAGGGGGGUAGGGGGGACGGGAACUCACGGUGGAGCGGUGAAAUGCGUUGAGAUCGUGAGGAACGCCCGUGGCGAAAGCGCGUCCCUGGACCCCACCUGACGCUGAGACGCGAAAGCCAGGGGAGCGAACGGG
Molecule: ribosomal RNA, 254 nt
Filed under: uncultured bacterium
Lineage: Bacteria
Description: partial 16S ribosomal RNA
Rfam family: Bacterial small subunit ribosomal RNA
Source: RNAcentral